GUGUGUGUGUGUGUGUGUGUGUGUGCAUGCGCGCGCGCGCGUCUUAUUUUUGGCGCAUGCACACCCCUCGGGUAGCCUCAAGGUCCGCAAUACCGGGAGCAAUCGGGAGUUCCCUCCCCCCCGCCUCCCCCCCCCCCGUCCCGGUCUCCGGCUGGACCCGUUGGUUCCUGGCAGCCAAGGACUCCCGGAAACGGGGAGUCCCCCUGUCCCAGCAGGGCAUCUUGAGACUCGGUUCAGUGCCAUCACCGUCAUGCUGGAGCGGGGACAGGCAGGUAGGAGCCGGGGUUCCUCGAAGGUGGACUCGGAGCAGUCGCCAGUGGGCAGCCUGGGCAGGGCCCGUCCCUAAUCGUGCACCCCGAGCAGCGCCCACUCCCCGGGGCUCCCCGCCUGUCCCCUGGCGCUCUCUCUGGGCAGCGACCUGUCACAGAUUUUUUGCACCUUUGCACCGAGAGGCAGCUGAUCCUACUCAAACGGAAACAGUGUCUCCUAAGGAGUCUGCAGGAAUUCUCAGUGGAAACGCACUCCAGCUUUGCCCCCCCCACCCCUGACGCAUUUAAAGCAAGGCCGCUUUUGCCUUGAUCACUUUGAGGCCAGGGAUGCCUCACAUGGAGCCUGAUUCCUGGCUACAAAACAAGGUUCAUGAAAAUUUCAGAAAUUAAAGUUAGUCCUGAGGGAAGUUCAUGAAUGCCUAAUGCUGGACUAGGAUUCAGGAUGGACUUCAGCAAGAGAAAAAAUGAGUCUAAAGGAUGGAGUGGGAUAUAAGCAAUAGUGGUG
Long non-coding RNA from Jaculus jaculus (lesser Egyptian jerboa), 774 nucleotides. RefSeq lists it as uncharacterized. NCBI's taxonomy places the organism in Eukaryota, Metazoa, Chordata, Mammalia, Rodentia, Dipodidae. The transcript is spliced from 3 exons. The record is from RefSeq and is a predicted model, not a curated record.